This 253-nucleotide ribosomal RNA is filed under the name uncultured bacterium. RNAcentral describes it as "partial 16S ribosomal RNA". It matches the Rfam family "Bacterial small subunit ribosomal RNA", at positions 524 to 776 of the family's 1533-position model. The record is from RNAcentral.
UACGUAGGUGGCAAGCGUUGUCCGGAAUUAUUGGGCGUAAAGCGCGCGCAGGCGGUCCUUUAAGUCUGAUGUGAAAGCCCACGGCUCAACCGUGGAGGGUCAUUGGAAACUGGGGGACCUGAGUACAGAAGAGAAGAGUGGAAUUCCACGUGUAGCGGUGAAAUGCGUAGAGAUGUGGAGGAACACCAGUGGCGAAGGCGACUCUUUGGUCUGUAACUGACGCUGAGGCGCGAAAGCGUGGGGAGCAAACAGG